AUUGAACGCUGGCGGAAUGCUUUACACAUGCAAGUCAAGCGGCAGCGCGGGGCAACCUGGCGGCGAGCGGCGAACGGGUGAGUAAUGCAUCGGAACGUACCCCGUCGUGGGGGAUAACUACCCGAAAGGGUAGCUAAUACCGCAUACGACCUGAGGGUGAAAGCGGGGGACCGAAAGGCCUCGCGCGAUGGGAGCGGCCGAUGCCGGAUUAGCUAGUUGGUAGGGUAAAGGCCUACCAAGGCGACGAUCCGUAGCUGGUCUGAGAGGACGACCAGCCACACUGGAACUGAGACACGGUCCAGACUCCUACGGGAGGCAGCAGUGGGGAAUUUUGGACAAUGGGCGAAAGCCUGAUCCAGCCAUUCCGCGUGAGUGAAGAAGGCCUCGGUUGUAAG
Molecule: ribosomal RNA, 395 nt
Filed under: uncultured bacterium
Lineage: Bacteria
Description: bacterial SSU rRNA
Rfam family: Bacterial small subunit ribosomal RNA
Source: RNAcentral